CAAGGAAUCUUGCGCAAUGGGCGAAAGCCUGACGCAGCAACGCCGCGUGGGUGAUGAAGGCCUUCGGGUUGUAAAUCCCUUUUGUCGGGGAAGAACUUUGACGGUACCCGGCGAAUAAGCCACGGCUAACUACGUGCCAGCAGCCGCGGUAAGACGUAGGUGGCGAGCGUUAUCCGGAUUUACUGGGCGUAAAGGGUACGUAGGCGGCGCCGUCAGUCUGCCGUGAAAUCUCCCGGCUCAACCGGGAGCGGCCGGUGGAAACUGCGGUGCUCGAGGGGCGUAGAGGCAAGCGGAAUUCCCGGAGUAGUGGUGGAAUGCGUAGAUACCGGGAGGAACACCAGUGGCGCAAGCGGCUUGCCAGACGCAUCCUGACGCUGAGGUACGAAAGCGUGGGUAGCGAACCGGAUUAGAUACCCCCGUAGUCC
This 425-nucleotide ribosomal RNA is filed under the name uncultured prokaryote. Its description in RNAcentral is "bacterial SSU rRNA". It matches the Rfam family "Bacterial small subunit ribosomal RNA", at positions 355 to 796 of the family's 1533-position model. The record is from RNAcentral.